Molecule: long non-coding RNA, 271 nt
Organism: Stegodyphus dumicola
Lineage: Eukaryota; Metazoa; Arthropoda; Arachnida; Araneae; Eresidae
Source: RefSeq, a predicted model, not a curated record
GCACAAUGAUUUCUAAACAAAGGAAGAACAAUGUGAAAUAUUUAGUCCAGAGUUCAUUUGCAUUAUGCUCAAGAUAAAUUUCAUGAAAUCUGGAAAAACCUGCUACCAGUAGUUCCGUGAAAAUAGUUGCCUGCGAGAGUAUGACUAUCGAGUGGUACUUAUCUUCUCACAAAUGCCGGUUACUUGUAGAGGCGGGUACGGCAUGCAAGGGCUGUCUACCUAAAGUGAGAGAUGCCACCGCGGAGGAAUUUCGAAGGAAAACUGACUUUGA